AGGAAAAAGAAGAAAGAAAACGUGUGAGAAACAAAAGAAAGAAAAA
This 46-nucleotide small RNA is filed under the name Arabidopsis thaliana (thale cress). RNAcentral describes it as "ATSL089310". Lineage: Eukaryota; Viridiplantae; Streptophyta; Magnoliopsida; Brassicales; Brassicaceae. The record is from RNAcentral.